GGGCCCGUGGCGUAGCAUGGAAGCGUGGUGGCCUGCGGAGCCACAGGUCCCGGGUUCAAGUCCCGGCGGGCCCGCCA
Molecule: transfer RNA, 77 nt
Filed under: Thermofilum pendens
Lineage: Archaea; Thermoproteati; Thermoproteota; Thermoprotei; Thermofilales; Thermofilaceae
Also listed under: 2 other names
Description: tRNA-Arg
Rfam family: tRNA
About the family: Transfer RNA (tRNA) molecules are approximately 80 nucleotides in length. Their secondary structure includes four short double-helical elements and three loops (D, anti-codon, and T loops). Further hydrogen bonds mediate the characteristic L-shaped molecular structure. tRNAs have two regions of fundamental functional importance: the anti-codon, which is responsible for specific mRNA codon recognition, and the 3' end, to which the tRNAs corresponding amino acid is attached (by aminoacyl-tRNA synthetases). tRNAs cope with the degeneracy of the genetic code in two manners: having more than one tRNA (with a specific anti-codon) for a particular amino acid; and 'wobble' base-pairing, i.e. permitting non-standard base-pairing at the 3rd anti-codon position.
Source: RNAcentral